AUGAACGCUGGCGGCGUGCUUAACACAUGCAAGUCGAACGGGAAACCUUUUAUUGAAGCUUCGGCAGAUUUAGCUGGUUUCUAGUGGCGGACGGGUGAGUAACGCGUGGGUAACCUGCCCUAUACAGGGGGAUAACAACCAGAAAUGGUUGCUAAUACCGCAUAAGCGCACAGGGCCGCAUGGUCCGGUGUGAAAAACUCCGGUGGUAUAGGAUGGACCCGCGUUGGAUUAGCCAGUUGGCAGGGUAACGGCCUACCAAAGCGACGAUCCAUAGCCGGCCUGAGAGGGUGAACGGACACAUUGGGACUGAGACACGGCCCAGACUCCUACGGGAGGCAGCAGUGGGGAAUAUUGCACAAUGGGGGAAACCCUGAUGCAGCGACGCCGCGUGAAGGAAGAAGUAUCUCGGUAUGUAAACUUCUAUCAGCAGGGAAGAUAGUGACGGUACCUGACUAAGAAGCCCCGGCUAACUACGUG
This 477-nucleotide ribosomal RNA is filed under the name uncultured bacterium. Its description in RNAcentral is "partial 16S ribosomal RNA". It matches the Rfam family "Bacterial small subunit ribosomal RNA", at positions 29 to 507 of the family's 1533-position model. The record is from RNAcentral.